Molecule: long non-coding RNA, 1886 nt
Filed under: Gossypium barbadense (sea-island cotton)
Lineage: Eukaryota; Viridiplantae; Streptophyta; Magnoliopsida; Malvales; Malvaceae
Description: long non-coding RNA (GBAR_LNC002196)
Source: RNAcentral
GAGUGUUAUUUUCUUGUUGUUUCAAGCAUUCUUGCACAAAAUAGUUUGUUUUUGUCUUUAAAAUCACUUCUAACAAAUCUGUUUGUGUUUUAUUUUUCCAAAUCUAGUUAGGGCAUUUUCUUGAGGUCCAAGGACGAUUUCUUUUCUUCCAAGAAACCCUAACUAGUUCUUUUUUAGACUCUUUACCAGUCAGUUCAUCUUUCUUUCGUUUUAAUUUCGUUUGACUCUUCUUUGCGACAACUAAUCUAUUUUUGUUUUUUCUUGUUUCAGUUUACGUUCGUCUAGAGAUCUAGGGUAAAUCCAUGACUUUGACAAACUUUAUGAUCCACUUCCGCAUUCAUCUACAUCAUUCUUUACCACCCCAUCUCUAUCAUGCCAAUCAAUCGCCAACACCUCACCUAUCGUCUCUCCCACAUUUAUGGCCAUUUGUCUAUCCAUUUGUUUGAAUGGUAUGUUGUAAAUUUUAACCCAAAAAGGUGUGAUAUUGAACACGUAAUUCUCUAACCCUUGGUCCUUAACAAAAGGUAAUAAAGAAAAUAGGCACUAAUUAAAAAGCCAAGGAGAAAGAUUAAGGAUUGUCGUUCUGUCAUCAAUGGCACCAAACUUAACCAGAAUAACACCUUCACUUAAUGCCACAAAGCUAACCUCUUCUUUUGUGAACCAUAGAGAUUUUAAGACCCGGUACACAGUUUCUUUGUUUUUUUUCUUUAGACAUUGUCUUCCCCACAGCCUAAACUUCGUAGCUCUUAGGCUUUGUAGAAUAUUGAUUAGAGCUAAUCACUCUUUUUUACUCUUCUUCUGAAAAAUUUAAUCUUUUCAGUAGCACAUUUAUGUCCUCCGCCAUAUCCAAGGACAAUAAUGAAAGUGCGCAAGAGAACAAACAUGACCCCCAAAUCAGGCCAAGCACGAGAGACUUUCCUCGAGAGCCACCAAUACAACUUGCAAGAUCACAACAGAGAAGAGAAGCAAUAAGGCACCAAUAAACCACUAGGAACAAAAAAUACAAUUAAGGCAAACACCAACGAACCUAAAAUGAUAGAGGAACAAGACACAACACAGAGGGUUAAGAAGCCAUGCUAGCAGCUCAAGAAAAUUAUUAUUAGCAAAAAAAAACACCAAAACCCACCACCCAAAAGGACUCCCAAAAACUCAAGAACAAAGCUAAAAAUGAUAGAAAACAGAAAAAACCCGCAGCAAACAGUUUUAAGAUGAAGUAAAAAUAUAAGCAAAAAUCUACAGGAAACCCUAUGAGAAAACCUAUGUAAAAGAAGAAAAUAGUGAUAUGAUUUAAAGAAAAUAAGGAAAAGCGAGACGUAAUAAAUGCCCAAGAAGAGUAGAGCCUCAGGAAAAUUAAUACAUGCAAAAAUCAAAUAGAAAAGUCAAACAAAAACUUACCUGGCAUCACAAGACCCACAAAAACGACAACCAUGCUCAAAGGUUUAAAAAUCAUACAAGAAACUUAAAGUCAAAAGAACCAUGCAAGAAAACAUAAAGUAAUCAGAAAAGCAAAUUAUGGUGAAAAUGACAAAAUCAACGAUUGAGAAGACCCGCAAUCCCAUCAAACUCUCCCAGAAUCAAACUUAGGCACAGUAUCUCCCAGCACAUAAACCGCCACCGUGCAAAUCUUGGAAUCCAUGCACAAACACAAACGAAAACCCCACCACAAAGUAGGGACUCACAACACAAACACCACCAUCCAAUUAUUCUUAACAAGAAGAACAAAGACGGACACCUCAAAUAAACAAAACAAUAAUUGAAUUCUCCGAAAUCUUGGAUUGUUUUUUUCUACUACCAGGCAACAUUCAAAAGCACGAUCCCGCUACAAAAGUACAAAUUACACUUGAACUCUAGAAGAAAGGAUCUAAAUAACCACUUGAAAGGGCGGU